RNAcentral lists this ribosomal RNA (1026 nucleotides) under Raffaelea subalba. RNAcentral's name for it is "SSU rRNA". It matches the Rfam family "Eukaryotic small subunit ribosomal RNA", at positions 69 to 1103 of the family's 1831-position model. The record is from RNAcentral. Lineage: Eukaryota; Fungi; Ascomycota; Sordariomycetes; Ophiostomatales; Ophiostomataceae.
GCAAUUGUACUGCGAAACUGCGAAUGGCUCAUUAAAUCAGUUAUCGUCUAUUUGAUAGUACCUUACUACUUGGAUAACCGUGGUAAUUCUAGAGCUAAUACAUGCUGCAAAGCCCGACUUCGGAAGGGUUGUAUUUAUUAGAUUAAAAAACCAAUGCCCUCCGGGGCUCACUGGUGAUUCAUGAUAACUUCUCGAAUCGCACGGCCUUGCGCCGGCGAUGGUUCAUUCAAAUUUCUGCCCUAUCAACUUUCGACGGCUGGGUAUUGGCCAGCCGUGGUGACAACGGGUAACGGAGGGUUAGGGCUCGACCCCGGAGAAGGAGCCUGAGAAACGGCUACUACAUCCAAGGAAGGCAGCAGGCGCGCAAAUUACCCAAUCCCGACACGGGGAGGUAGUGACAAUAAAUACUGAUACAGGGCUCUUUUGGGUCUUGUAAUUGGAAUGAGUACAAUUUAAUUCCCUUAACGAGGAACAAUUGGAGGGCAAGUCUGGUGCCAGCAGCCGCGGUAAUUCCAGCUCCAAUAGCGUAUAUUAAAGUUGUUGCAGUUAAAAAGCUCGUAGUUGAACCUUGGGCCUGGCUGGCCGGUCCGCCUCACCGCGUGCACUGGUCCGGCCGGGCCUUUCCCUCUGGGGAGCCGCAUGCCCUUCACUGGGCGUGCCGGGGAACCAGGACGUUUACUUUGAAAAAAUUAGAGUGUUCAAAGCAGGCUUAUGCUCGGAUACAUUAGCAUGGAAUAAUGGAAUAGGACGCGUGGUUCUAUUUUGUUGGUUUCUAGGACCGCCGUAAUGAUUAAUAGGGACAGUCGGGGGCAUCAGUAUUCAGCUGUCAGAGGUGAAAUUCUUGGAUUUGCUGAAGACUAACUACUGCGAAAGCAUUUGCCAAGGAUGUUUUUCAUUAAUCAGGAACGAAAGUUAGGGGAUCGAAGACGAUCAGAUACCGUCGUAGUCUUAACCAUAAACUAUGCCGACUAGGGAUCGGACGGUGUUAUUCUUUGACCCGUUCGGCACCUUACACGAAAGUACAAG